UACAGAGGUCCCGAGCGUUGUUCGGAUUCACUGGGCGUAAAGGGUGCGUAGGUGGUGAGGUAAGUCGGAUGUGAAAUCUCCAGGCUCAACCUGGAAACGGCAUUGGAAACUACCUUGCUAGAGGUUUUGAGGGGGGACUGGAAUUCUCGGUGUAGCAGUGAAAUGCGUAGAUAUCGAGAGGAACACCAGUGGCGAAGGCGAGUCCCUGGAAAACACCUGACACUGAGGCACGAAAGCUAGGGGAGCAAACAGG
This 253-nucleotide ribosomal RNA is filed under the name uncultured bacterium. RNAcentral's name for it is "partial 16S ribosomal RNA". It matches the Rfam family "Bacterial small subunit ribosomal RNA", at positions 524 to 776 of the family's 1533-position model. The record is from RNAcentral.